UCCCUGGUGGCUCAGAGGGUAGAGCGUCUGCCUGCAACACAGGAAACUCAGGUUUGAUCCCUGGGUUGGGAA
This is a non-coding RNA of Bos taurus (domestic cattle), 72 nucleotides long. The record is from Rfam. NCBI's taxonomy places the organism in Eukaryota, Metazoa, Chordata, Mammalia, Artiodactyla, Bovidae.